Danio rerio (zebrafish) is the source of this 742-nucleotide non-coding RNA. Lineage: Eukaryota; Metazoa; Chordata; Actinopteri; Cypriniformes; Danionidae. The record is from Ensembl.
GGGACCUCCUGACACAGCUAGUCGUGAUCGCUUGUCACCACAAUCAGCAGCUACAGCCGAGUUUGACGACAUAGUGUUCAUCUGUCAACAUAAACCACUCUCAGAUUAUUUCCCGAAUGCACCAUCGUUUCCUCAAACACUCCCUGUACUGGACUCCUGCCAGUGAAGUCUGGCCCAAUGUGUUUAUAGCUGACGAGAAAGCAGCAAGGAACAAAGCCAAACUGGAGGAGAUGUACAUUACUCACAUUAUGACUGCUAUGCUGUUGUGUUCAGUGGAAAAGAAAUGGGAGGACCACUACCAGAAGAAAAACAUCACUUACUACAAUGUGCAUUCAGGAGUCCAUGGCUGCCCCAUGUCUGGUCAAAUAUGGCACACCUCUUUUCACCAGCAGCAGAAUUCAUACAGAAGGCCCUGAGUUACACAGAUUAAGGUGUUGGUGUACAGCAGCGCGGGCUUAAACCAGUCCAUCGUGCUUCUUAUGGCAUAUCUAAUGAUCCACCAGGACAUGAAGAUGGAAGACGCAUUCGAAUUUGUGUUAGAGAGCAGGAUGCAUGUGGAUAAGCAGGGACUACUUGAACCAGCUAAUGAUGUUAAAUCUGGACCUCGCAAAGCUUCGCAAAUUAGAAAAGUGUAGACCCUGCUGCAAAGCCUGCUCUGAAGCUAUCAUGUGACUAAAUCAAAUGUAACAUGCAGUAUGUAAAUAUGGUGUUGAUAUGUCUGUUUGUCUUCUGUUCAUGUGCA